This 165-nucleotide ribosomal RNA is filed under the name Senecio involucratus. Its description in RNAcentral is "5.8S ribosomal RNA". It matches the Rfam family "5.8S ribosomal RNA". Rfam says of the family: 5.8S ribosomal RNA (5.8S rRNA) is a component of the large subunit of the eukaryotic ribosome. It is transcribed by RNA polymerase I as part of the 45S precursor that also contains 18S and 28S rRNA. Functionally, it is thought that 5.8S rRNA may be involved in ribosome translocation. The record is from RNAcentral. Lineage: Eukaryota; Viridiplantae; Streptophyta; Magnoliopsida; Asterales; Asteraceae.
AUAAACGACUCUCGACAACGGAUAUCUCGGCUCACGCAUCGAUGAAGAACGUAGCAAAAUGCGAUACUUGGUGUGAAUUGCAGAAUCCCGUGAACCAUCGAGUUUUUGAACGCAAGUUGCGCCCGAAGCCUUUUGGUUGAGGGCACGUCUGCCUGGGCGUCACAC